GUGGGGAAUAUUGGACAAUGGGCGAAAGCCUGAUCCAGCCAUGCCGCGUGUGUGAAGAAGGUCUUCGGAUUGUAAAGCACUUUAAGUUGGGAGGAAGGGCAGUAAGUUAAUACCUUGCUGUUUUGACGUUACCGACAGAAUAAGCACCGGCUAACUUCGUGCCAGCAGCCGCGGUAAUACGAAGGGUGCAAGCGUUAAUCGGAAUUACUGGGCGUAAAGCGCGCGUAGGUGGUUUUGUAAGUUGGAGGUGAAAUCCCCAGGCUCAACCUGGGAACUGCCUCCAAAACUGCAUGACUAGAGUACGGUAGAGGGUAGUGGAAUUUCCUGUGUAGCGGUGAAAUGCGUAGAUAUAGGAAGGAACACCAGUGGCGAAGGCGACCACCUGGACUGAUACUGACACUGAGGUGCGAAAGCGUGGGGAGCAAACAGGAUUAGAUACCCGUGUAGUCC
Molecule: ribosomal RNA, 450 nt
Filed under: uncultured bacterium
Lineage: Bacteria
Description: partial 16S ribosomal RNA
Rfam family: Bacterial small subunit ribosomal RNA
Source: RNAcentral